CCCUUAGAUGUUCUGGGCUGCACGCGCGCUACACUGAUGCGCUCAACGAGUUUUAACCUUGCCUGGAAAGGUUGGGUAAUCUUUUUAAAACGCAUCGUGAUGGGGAUAGAUUAUUGCAAUUAUUAAUCUUCAACGAGGAAUUCCUAGUAAGCGCGAGUCAUCAGCUCGUGCUGAUUACGUCCCUGCCCUUUGUACACACCGCCCGUCGCUCCUACCGAUUGUGUGAUCCGGUGAAUAAUUCGGACUGCGGCAUUGACCGGUUCCCGAUCGUUGCUGCGGAAAGUUUAGUGAACCUUAUCACUUAGAGGAAGGAGAAGUCGUAACA
RNAcentral lists this ribosomal RNA (325 nucleotides) under uncultured eukaryote. Its description in RNAcentral is "partial 18S ribosomal RNA". It matches the Rfam family "Eukaryotic small subunit ribosomal RNA", at positions 1470 to 1796 of the family's 1831-position model. The record is from RNAcentral.